CAAAUUAACGCCUCUCUAGGAAUGCUAAUAACAUUCCAAAAAUACAUUAAAUUAUUAAAGUUACGUCAUUUGACGUUUAGUUUAAUGUUUUAAUAUUAAUUUUAUUAAAAUUAUUGAAAUAAAUAAAAAAAAAUCCUUUGUCGGAAAAUCUCGCAGGGAAGGCAGUUCUCUGUAUUACUUAUUGUUUCGCUUCUUUUUUACAGAUACUUUCGUAAUUUUCGUAAUGAUAGAAGAACACAUUAUACAAUUUUUGUAGGUAUUUAAAUACACCCAUAUUAUAGGUAUAACGUCGAGUAAAAUAAUUUUCGAUGAAAUAAUCGAAUCUGUUAGACCGUCAUAAAAAUACACUAAUCUAUGUUACCAUAUGUUAAACGAAAAUCAGGUCGGUAUUAGGUAUUAAGUUCUAGGUACCUAUGCCGCUGGAGAGAAGUUGUAAUGAAAAAAGAGGCUUCAUUAAAACAGCUUUCCGAAUCGCGAUAGUCAUUUUUUUUUGGUCUACCGGAUCGAGAGCAAAGCUGAUAGCAGUAGAGAUGGAAAAAACAAUGUCAUCGGUUUUGUAAAUCGGAGGGUUAUGUACAAACUCCAUAGUCCACAUUUCAGGUGUGUUUAUUAUGUUUUUUUUUAUUUAAAUCACGACGUAUCAUUAAAGCGUCGGCUUUAUAACUAAUUACUGUUAUCGUUUUAUCAAAUUAUUUUCAGAAAUGUCGUUGACCAUCUUUUACCUGCAAUUACUUCAAAAACCCGCGAACAGCAAAAAUGCAUGUCAAGGAUUCACAAAGGGGUUAUACACAAGACUUAUGUAAAUAUAAAGAAGCACUUUUUACAUAUUCAGAAUAAUUAUUCACAUUUAAAGUUGUACUUAGGUUAUUUAUAUAAUUUCUAUUACAAUGGACUAAAAUAAAAAAAGAAAAAGAAAUUGUAACAAAGAAUACCCAAUAACAAAG
This is a non-coding RNA of Cinara cedri, 944 nucleotides long. NCBI's taxonomy places the organism in Eukaryota, Metazoa, Arthropoda, Insecta, Hemiptera, Aphididae. The record is from the annotation of a GenBank genome assembly.